RNAcentral lists this ribosomal RNA (119 nucleotides) under Pteropus alecto (black flying fox). The record is from RNAcentral. Lineage: Eukaryota; Metazoa; Chordata; Mammalia; Chiroptera; Pteropodidae.
GUCUACGGCCAAGCCACCCUGAACGUGCCCGAUCCCAUCUGAUCUCAGAAGCUAAGCAGGGUCAGGCCUGGUUAGUACAUGGAUGGAAGACCACCUAGGAAGACCAGGUGCUAUAGGCG